This 491-nucleotide ribosomal RNA is filed under the name uncultured bacterium. RNAcentral's name for it is "partial 16S ribosomal RNA". It matches the Rfam family "Bacterial small subunit ribosomal RNA", at positions 29 to 506 of the family's 1533-position model. The record is from RNAcentral.
AGUGAACGCUGGCGGUAGGCCUAACACAUGCAGGUCGAACGGCAGCACAGUAAGAGCUUGCUCUUACGGGUGGCGAGUGGCGGACGGGUGAGGAAUACAUCGGAAUCUACUUUUUCGUGGGGGAUAACGUAGGGAAACUUACGCUAAUACCGCAUACGACCUACGGGUGAAAGCAGGGGAUCUUCGGACCUUGCGCGAUUGAAUGAGCCGAUGUCGGAUUAGCUAGUUGGCGGGGUAAAGGCCCACCAAGGCGACGAUCCGUAGCUGGUCUGAGAGGAUGAUCAGCCACACUGGAACUGAGACACGGUCCAGACUCCUACGGGAGGCAGCAGUGGGGAAUAUUGGACAAUGGGCGCAAGCCUGAUCCAGCCAUACCGCGUGGGUGAAGAAGGCCUUCGGGUUGUAAAGCCCUUUUGUUGGGAAAGAAAAGCAGCAGGUUAAUACCCCGCUGUUCUGACGGUACCCAAAGAAUAAGCGCCGGCUAACUUCGU